CGUCCGUCCAUAUCCGUUGCAUGUCCGUUAAGCGUCCGUUUUAUCCGUUGCAUGUCCGUUAAGCGUCCGUUUUAUCCGUCGACGUCCGUUCUGUCCGGUGGAAAAUUUUGAGCAUGUUCAAAACUUUGAACGGACGUCUAACGGAUAAAAUGUCCGUUGAACGUCCGUUAGACGUCCGUUAGGCGUCCGUUUUGUACGGUACUCGUCCGUUUCGUUUCCGUUUUGUAUCCGUUACGUGUCCGUUAUACAUCCGUUGGAGGUCUGGCAGAUAAAUUCACCAACGGACUUCUAACGGACGUCUAACGGAUAAAACGGAUGAGAAACGGACUUCUAACGGACGUAUAACGGACAUAACGGAUGAUGAACGGAUCUGAAACGGAUAAAAUUGAUGCCAAUUGAAAAUUUCUCGUCAGAAAUGCCAAAAAUAUUUCUUAAGGUUCAUGAAUUCUUAUUAUUCAUAAUCGAUCUUAGAGUAAGGGCACAUCUUCACAAUCAAUCAGCUGUUAAACUUUAAUAUUCAGGUCAGACACUACCCUUUAGCGGCAUUUUGAAGAACAAACAAAAACCAGUUACACAGAACUUUGACAAAUAGAUUUGCUUUCA
RNAcentral lists this long non-coding RNA (603 nucleotides) under Mytilus galloprovincialis (Mediterranean mussel). The record is from RNAcentral. Lineage: Eukaryota; Metazoa; Mollusca; Bivalvia; Mytilida; Mytilidae.